GGAGGUUGGGGACGGAGGUCCUCACGGCAGCGCGCGGCGGAGCCGGCUCAGUCAGAGGAGCACGUGGCCUGAGUAGAUGGCCGAUGGGACGGCGGGAGAGCAAGCGCCAAGCGACAGAUUUGAAGAUGUUUCAAGCCUUGCACGUGGAGGAGGAGAGUUGCAGCAAGAUCCAGUCCCGUUGAUUUCCAAUAUCAAGAAGAGCGCGAGGAAGGAGAGGGAGGCCGGCGCACCACAUGAAGAGAAGGAAAUCAACCAGCAAUAGAAGUUGUCGUGGCUGAUGCUAGAAUAAGUCCUACGACACGUCAAACAUGUCUAAGGCAUCAGCGCACGUCGAGGAGCAUGUGACACACAUAGGGUUGCCUACGACAUGGUUUCUUUGCCUAAGUGUGAGUUGGGCCUGCGUGCUCAUAAUUUGGGCUGAACCCAAUGUUUUGGGUCAGUUUGUAUCAAGUUUGGGUUGAACCAAGUUCGAGUCCGAGUCCAAUUAGGUUACUAGACGUCCACCCUCCUAUAUAAGUUGAGGGGCGCCCACGAUUAGGGUUAGACCACGUUUAGAUUAUUCAGAACCUUUCGUUGAACUACUACAAGCAUUCAUCUGAAAUUAUUCCUCUUUGAUUC
Long non-coding RNA from Brachypodium distachyon (stiff brome), 618 nucleotides. RefSeq lists it as uncharacterized. The transcript has 2 exons. Lineage: Eukaryota; Viridiplantae; Streptophyta; Magnoliopsida; Poales; Poaceae. The record is from RefSeq and is a predicted model, not a curated record.